GGUGGGAUGGCCGAGUGGUCCAAGGCGACAGAUUUAAGCUUACAUAAGCUCUGUUACUCGUGAGAGUGCGCGGGUUCGAACCCCGCUCCCAUCA
Colletotrichum sublineola is the source of this 94-nucleotide transfer RNA. It matches the Rfam family "tRNA". Rfam says of the family: Transfer RNA (tRNA) molecules are approximately 80 nucleotides in length. Their secondary structure includes four short double-helical elements and three loops (D, anti-codon, and T loops). Further hydrogen bonds mediate the characteristic L-shaped molecular structure. tRNAs have two regions of fundamental functional importance: the anti-codon, which is responsible for specific mRNA codon recognition, and the 3' end, to which the tRNAs corresponding amino acid is attached (by aminoacyl-tRNA synthetases). tRNAs cope with the degeneracy of the genetic code in two manners: having more than one tRNA (with a specific anti-codon) for a particular amino acid; and 'wobble' base-pairing, i.e. permitting non-standard base-pairing at the 3rd anti-codon position. The record is from Rfam. NCBI's taxonomy places the organism in Eukaryota, Fungi, Ascomycota, Sordariomycetes, Glomerellales, Glomerellaceae.